This 148-nucleotide non-coding RNA is filed under the name Homo sapiens (human). The record is from Rfam by way of RNAcentral. Lineage: Eukaryota; Metazoa; Chordata; Mammalia; Primates; Hominidae.
GCCAGGUGUGGUGGCGGGCACCUGUAAUCCCAGCUACUCAGGAGGCUGAGGCAGGAGAAUCACUUGAACCCAGGAGGCAGAGGUUGCAGUGAGCCAAGAUCAUGCCACUGCACUCCAGCCUGGGUGACAGAGUAAGACUCUGUUUCUC